UGCGCAGGCGGUUGUGCAAGACAGGUGUGAAAUCCCCGGGCUUAACCUGGGAACUGCACUUGUGACUGCACGGCUGGAGUACGGCAGAGGGGGAUGGAAUUCCGCGUGUAGCAGUGAAAUGCGUAGAUAUGCGGAGGAACACCGAUGGCGAAGGCAGUCCCCUGGGCCUGUACUGACGCUCAUGCACGAAAGCGUGGGGAGCAAACA
This 207-nucleotide ribosomal RNA is filed under the name uncultured bacterium. Its description in RNAcentral is "partial 16S ribosomal RNA". It matches the Rfam family "Bacterial small subunit ribosomal RNA", at positions 568 to 774 of the family's 1533-position model. The record is from RNAcentral.